AUACAGGUACACACAAUUUUGAAAGGAAUGUACAUUGAAGAGGCUUGAAUCCAAUAGGAGGCAGUAAUGCAACAUCAAGGACGCCAACUGCCGUAAAACCCCGAAGAAGAAGAAUUAGACGUAGAAGUAGUUUGGCUGCAGUAGAAUUUCAAGAUGGACGACUUUUGCUACUCAGUAGACCAGAGGAUGGUGAAGGGAUGUCUGAGGGCAUCAGGCCACAGAGUGCAGUGGAUGAGAGCAUUCGAUUCCAUACGCCAUGUAGUGUUGGGUGUAUUGCGAGAGGGACCAACAGUGUUCCAGGCCCCCUGUCACUCAUACACAAGUUGAUCAGAUUCUGUUCCUCCAAAUGACCAAUAACGAGACGCCCAUGGCUCUGGAGUUCUUCCUUGAAGCUGCAAAGAAACAUGUUUCC
Molecule: long non-coding RNA, 412 nt
Organism: Monopterus albus (swamp eel)
Lineage: Eukaryota; Metazoa; Chordata; Actinopteri; Synbranchiformes; Synbranchidae
Exons: 3
Source: RefSeq, a predicted model, not a curated record